Molecule: long non-coding RNA, 3452 nt
Filed under: Sus scrofa (pig)
Lineage: Eukaryota; Metazoa; Chordata; Mammalia; Artiodactyla; Suidae
Description: lncRNA (ENSSSCG00000055306.1)
Source: RNAcentral
GAAGCAUCCCCAAAAUAUGGAUCAUUGUACAAUUGAGACAAUUAAAAAUUAAAUUGAUCAAAGAUGGUUAUUCGGAUUCACUGACAGUUCCAUAUUAAUUGUUGUUGAAGUCAAUGGCUGUAAAGAACAAAGGAGCUUUCAAAUUAUCUUCAGCCUUUUGUUAAACAGUGGGUUAUUUUCCUUUUCUAUUUUGAAUCUUAGCGGAGUAGGACUCAAGCGACUUGUGAUAAUGAUUUUAUUUUUUCAGAAGAAAAAAAUUGUUCUUUAAAAACUGCCUUCAGGAGCAAAUAAUUAGAAAGGAACAUAAGGUAAUAAAGAUGAUCUGAGGAAGCACUCUUAAAUGUCAAGUUGGGGAAUAUAUUUUCUUGAAAAGGUUCUGGAGGAAGCUGAAUGGGUAGAGUGCAGCAUUUAAACAUCACUGUUAUUCAAAUGCUAAACAAAAUGGAAACAGUUGAUUGCACAUAGUGGUAAAUUUCUAGAUGAAUUUUUCAGCAUUAUAAAGCAAUGCUUCUGCAGUAAACAAUUACAAGGAAUAUUGCUUAGUAUAGUCCUGCCCUUAUAAGACUUGAAGCUUUUGGUAUUAUCACAAAGAAUGAAACUAUAGUCAUUUUCCUGGGCAUGUGCUCUAUCUUUAUGGAGGUCAAAAGUUGAUCCAUAAGUACAACUAAUAAAUUGAUUCUUAAGGGAAAUGGUAGUUUGUGGAAUUUCCAUCCUUACUCUAAGGAGAUGAUCCAGAGUUAUCUUGGAGAUGUGUUUAUGUGGCAAACUUAGAAAUAUCAUUAAAGAUGGACAGGAGCCAAAUGAAUUAUUUGUGACUUUCUCCUAAAGUACACUGAAGAACAGAAAACAAGCCAAAAAAAGAAAUUCCACCUGUACUUUUUAGCACCAGCUCUUAACAUUAGGGUGUUUUGUUCCAAGCUUAAUCUCCAGGGAGCAGCAGAAUAUUUCAAAGAGACUUUGCUAACUUCAGUCUCUAAAUUUCCUUUAGGUCUUUUUAAAUGAAGUUUUAGGAUGUAUUUGCAUGCAUUAUCUAUAGCUAUAUAAUUUGUCACCUUGCAAAAAUUCCCCAUGAAAGAGUUGCUUCUUCAUCCUUCUCAGUGUGUUUUAAUACUGAGGCCUUUGCAGGAAGUUGGUUGUCAGCUUUCACAGAAGAUCCUAUUAUCACAAUCAAAAGCAUUAGAGGACAAAUUAUUUUCUUUCAGCACUCAACACUUGGAGAAUAUUAGCCUAUUUUCUAGAAGCUGUCAGAUCCCUUUUAAGAGUUUCAAGACCUUUUAUUUUGAAAUUAUAUAUAAAACCCUGGCAAAUAUUAUUGAUAGGAAUGUUCUUUCUCUAUUAAAAACUGACUUGCUGGAAUUGCUUUUAAGUUUUUAACAGAGAAAUUUUAUAAAAAUGUUCAGUUACCAUGCACUCUAUGAAAGAAUUAGAGGUAAUUUUACAUGUAUAUUUAUUUCAAUAACAUCAAUAAGGUAUUUCAUUCAUAGAAGGCCCUAAUACUGAUUUGUGACUAAAUAAAAUAUACUAAGGUCUACAAAACUAUGAAUUAUUUCAUAUGUAUUUUCAUCACUCUUUUAUUAGUAGCUAUCAACAUGGUAUCUAAAAUUAUGUGCCUAGAAAAAAAAAAAGAGUUAGAAAAAAAGGAUUUAUUACCAAAAUAACAUACUUAUGAAGAAUAGUUGCCAAAAUUAAACACUAAUACAUGCAUAUAUUUAAAAAUAGGACAGGAUUAGCCUCUGUAUAUUUCUGUCAUCAAUUGUGUUGGGAAUUGUGCCAAGUUCUUUCUUUGUAUGUGAACAAUUCAUAUUCAAAUACAAAGAACUGCUCCUUAGAAUUCUAGGCCAUAAUUUAUCCCAGUACCUACAAGCAGCACUGUUUAUAAAAGUAGUCCUGUAAAAGGGCUGUUCCUUAUAUUCCAGAGAAGUAAACAUUGGUGUAAUUUUUAAAUUACAGCUAUUGAGGUUCACAGACAGAAAUUGUAAACAUAAGUUUGCCUCACUCGCAUUGCUUCUUAAAGAUUCAUAAUCCUCUAAGCUUCCCUACAUGGUAAGAUAUUUUGUUGGAAUGUGUAGAAAAAGAAAUGUUGGAAAGUUUUAAAAGAAUUUUUAAUUUUUUUCAAAUACUUUCCUUAUAUGACUAUUCAACUUUUAUUUUGAGACAUUGGAAAAUUCUUGAUUUUUUUAAGUUUAUUUUUAUAACAGUAUAGAAGUGGAUACUCUUAAAAAUUAUAUAAACCAUGCUGCCAUUAAUUUAAAAAUACCAAUUAUAAUUGAGUGCUUAUCAUUCAUUAGGCAAUAUUUUGAGUAUUUUGCUUGCAUUAUUUUGUUAAGUAUUGGCCAGUUGUUCACUAAAGAAGCUAUAGAAAAACAACGUAUAAAUCAUAAAGCAUCUACCUGAAUGUACUGGCUGUGUAUCUGAACUUUAGGGUGAUUCUGAUUGUUCCUCAGGCUGUUACAGGGUAUAACAGUAAAUGAUGAACGUAUAUCUAGAUUUUCUGGAAUAGGACUAAAUUCAUAUAUUGUCUGUCAUUUUAAGAUCAUAUUUAACAUGGCAGAAUAUCUCAGCCUUAAAUGCACUGGUCUGAAUUUCUACUUUUUACAGAACAUUUCCAGAAUUAAGGCCAAAAAAGAAGUGACUAUUUUGAGAUAGGAACUAAACUGAGGCUUUUAUUGGUAACUCCCUGUAAACUUAAAGCUUCUUAGGCUCUUUGAGAUCAGUUCAAGGAGUGUUUAGUUAAGUAAAAAGAUGGUAUUUUCUUGAGAAAGAGUUAUUUUAAAUUUAUAUGCUCCAAGGCAAGUUUGUUAUUGAGAUAGACAUUGCUGACUUAUUUUUCCCUUUGAUAACCCAUCUUCGACUCCUCUUUAUUCUGAUUUUCCUUUUUUCCUAGGAAGCACAAAGUUGAAAACUAGGCUUAGUUUUUCUAAAGUAACUUUUGAUUUUUGUCCUAGUGUUUAAUUACUUAUAACUGUACUUCUUUAUGUUUUAUUUCAAAUAACUUUAGAUACAUGAAUAUAAUAAUUUUGAAGCACCAUAUGUGUUUUUAUCACAUAAUUAAAUUUAUUCUUAUGUUAAACAAAUAUUCUCAUCCUUAUUUUGUAUAGGAGAAAGUAAAUAUUCAAAAAUUAAUAAUAUUGCAUAAUAGCAUAGGUAAUAAGUCGACUCACAUUUUAUUUUAAAUGCACUAUGCUUUCUGUUACAUUACACUCCUCUCCACGCUAAUCAAUUAAAAAUAUUUGGAGUUCCUUUUCAUGGCUCAGCAGUGAAUGAAUCUGACUAGCAUCCAUGAGGAUGGAGGUUCGACCCCUGGCCUCGCUUGGUGGGUUAAGGGUCUGGCGUUGCCUGAGCUGUGGUGUAGAUUGCAGACACGGCUCAGAUCCCGCGUUGCUGUGGCUGUGUCUGUGGCAUAGGCCGGCGGCUACAGCUCCGAUUGGACCUCUAGCCUGGGAACCUCCAUG